AGUAAUAAUAAAGCUUCGUGAAAGUAAUAAUCGUUUAUAACCGAGACCGUCACUGGGUGGUGCUUUUUCAACGCACGUUUUUACUUAUAAUCUUAAAAAUUACAACAGAAAUUGCCUACACCUUUAUGCUGAGCCGACGGUGUAGGGAGUUAUAAUAUAUAAUGCCAUUAAACCGAAUCGCAUAACAUAAUAAUGUCCAUUAACAAUUUUUAACAUAGACUCGGAAUUAGUAAUUGCUACAGGUAGGGGUAAACGGUUGAAAAGCGGUGCCGUAAGUUCCCAUCGAAAACCUGUGGGCUGCCAGAGCCCGCCGUGUAUUCAAAACGGACUGACGAGGAUAUUGCGUACCCAUUAACUGCAAUACUGAUACGUUUGGCUCUAGUGUAU
Cinara cedri is the source of this 387-nucleotide non-coding RNA. The record is from the annotation of a GenBank genome assembly. NCBI's taxonomy places the organism in Eukaryota, Metazoa, Arthropoda, Insecta, Hemiptera, Aphididae.